AACGAACGCUGGCGGCAUGCCUAACACAUGCCAGUCGAACGAGACCUUCGGGUCUAGUGGCGCACGGGUGCGUAACGCGUGGGAACCUGCCCUUAGGUUCGGAAUAACUCCCCGAAAGGGGUGCUAAUACCGGAUAAUGUCUUCGGACCAAAGAUUUAUCGCCUUUGGAUGGGCCCGCGUUGGAUUAGCUAGUUGGUAGGGUAAAAGCCUACCAAGGCGACGAUCCAUAGCUGGUCUGAGAGGAUGAUCAGCCACACUGGGACUGAGACACGGCCCAGAAUCCUACGGGAGGCAGCAGUGGGGAAUAUUGGACAAUGGGCGAAAGCCUGAUCCAGCAAUGCCGCGUGAGUGAUGAAGGCCUUAGGGUUGUAAAGCUCUUUUACCCGGGAUGAUAAUGACAGUACCGGGAGAAUAAGCUCCGGCUAACUCCGUG
Molecule: ribosomal RNA, 433 nt
Filed under: uncultured bacterium
Lineage: Bacteria
Description: partial 16S ribosomal RNA
Rfam family: Bacterial small subunit ribosomal RNA
Source: RNAcentral